Molecule: long non-coding RNA, 1750 nt
Organism: Paramormyrops kingsleyae
Lineage: Eukaryota; Metazoa; Chordata; Actinopteri; Osteoglossiformes; Mormyridae
Source: RefSeq, a predicted model, not a curated record
CCAAGUAGAUGGACACAGUUUCGGAUAUGUAGAGAAAGCGACCCUCGUGACUGACCACGAACACGAAACCAUCCAGCGACUGGAGGAAAGGACACGGAGACGCCCAUUAAAAUCAACAAAUCACUCUAAUUAACUUCUCACUGUCAUCACUUAUAUGACGGCGGAUAUCAAAAUGGAAACGCCCGAAGGACGACAAACAGCGUGGGCAGUGCGAGUAGCCAACCACCACGGAUAGCCUCUGAAACCCCUGCAACCCAGAAUAGGACAAGCAAUUACAGAAAAUGAAUGGAUGGACCUUCUUUGAAGCCGUGACUGCAGCAUUGCACUCAUAACCAGGACUCAAGCCGGACUGCAAAUCCAAAAGAAUGAUGCUCAUGUACAUCGAUCGCCUCUGAAAUAAGCAUCCAUCCAUUCUAUACUGCUCAUCUGGGUCCUGGUUGCAGGGACAGUGGUCUGAGCAGGAAUGUCCUCAGAUCUCCAGCCAUCUCCUCCAGCUCCUUCAAAGGGAUACCAAAGCGAUGCGAUCCAUCCAAUGCCUGUCAAAUACCAGGAUGAGCUCAUGAAAAAUACAUUUAAAUGUUUUUCUGUCGAGAAUGGAUACAUGGAAGAGCCAUCUAAUGGGACAGCAACAAUAUCACAAAUAAAGAUCCUCAGAUCCUCAAGAGUAGAUGUAAGGCUUCUGCAUUAUCAAAUGGGCCACCUCUGGUGCAGCUGAUUUGUCUGUUACUUAUGAACAUUUCAAAUGUUUAAAAAAGCUUUGUAUACAGAAUCGUUUUCCACUCUCCCAUAUGUUUCUCGUUUUUGUUUAAAAGUUAGCCAGUCUAAUCCAGACCUUUCUCUUUGUCGUAAAAUGUUUUCAUGGCUGGGGGUAGAGCAGUCAACGACUGAAGGGUUUAAAUAACUCUUUGUUCCACACUUUCUCGAGGCAACAUGUUUCCUUAUAACCACCCUAAAAGAAGGCGUAAUGAAGUUCCGAAUCUUUUUCAUAGAGGGGAUUAGAUUUCUUCAGCAGAAAGCGCAGGUCAUUGAGAAAAGCCAGUUCUUCAAACACUUUCAGUGCGUUUGAUGGGAAGUAAUAACCAGGCGCUUUUGAUCAUAACAACCAGUACAGAAAAUACUUGGUCUUGGGUAAUAUGAAAAUAUAAGAAUAUAAAAUGAUCUGCUGCAGAGUAAAGCCAUUUUUGAUUGCAUAAAGUGGAUUCAUUUAUAACUGGAGUAUUUGGAGUGUCAAAUAUUUGGAAUGUCAAACAGCAGGGGGGAUGGGAUCUGGGGCAUUGGUCGCACCCCGAUUCAUAUCGGCCAUUAAGAAAACGUCUGGAGUAUAACAAGCAGUAUAGCAUCACUGAGUACAGCUAGCGCUCAUGGUGUGACCGAAAGGACCUGCGACAGCCAGAAAUAGCUACUAAUCACAUUCACAUAUAGGCAAAAGCCAUGCACCAACUGAUAUCCAAAAAUAGAAUUCUAAAUAUUUUAAGAGUAUAUCUGUGUGUAUCUUGGUGCAGAACAUGUGCACAGAUAUCGUUAAAUGAUUUAAAUACCUCUGAAGAUGAAUUCAUUAUCUUUAACUGGGCAAGUGGCUAUUGAAAAUAAAUUAUCUUAUUUUUCUGCCUGUUUAAAGAUAUCUGGAAAUGUCUUUAUGUCUAAAAAUGUAAAAUAUAUUUUUAAUAAGUCAGGAAGUGGUUCUCCAUAUAUCUUUAGACAGUUUAAAGAUAUCUUUAAAUAAAGAUAAAUACAUUACAAUGUCAGAAUA